GAAAGGCCUUAUGGCGAGGAUGGGUGUGUGAACCGGGUCAGAUUGGGAACGAAGCAGCCCUAAGCAUUACCUGUCUUGUGCCGUAAGUAAACUUGCAUAU
RNAcentral lists this signal recognition particle RNA (100 nucleotides) under Aerococcus urinaehominis. RNAcentral's name for it is "Bacterial small signal recognition particle RNA". It matches the Rfam family "Bacterial small signal recognition particle RNA". Rfam says of the family: The signal recognition particle (SRP) is a universally conserved ribonucleoprotein involved in the co-translational targeting of proteins to membranes. Lineage: Bacteria; Bacillati; Bacillota; Bacilli; Lactobacillales; Aerococcaceae. The record is from Rfam by way of RNAcentral.